CCUACGGGAGGCUGCAGUGGGGAAUAUUGCACAAUGGGGGAAACCCUGAUGCAGCGACGCCGCGUGAGUGAAGAAGUAUUUCGGUAUGUAAAGCCCUAUCAGCAGGGAAGAAAAUGACGGUAUCUGACUAAGAAGCCCCGGCUAACUACGUGCCAGCAGCCGCGGUAAUACGUAGGGGGCAAGCGUUAUCCGGAUUUACUGGGUGUAAAGGGAGCGUAGACGGCAGCACAAGUCUGGAGUGAAAUGCAGUGGCUUAACCACGGAACUGCUUUGGAAACUGUGCAGCUAGAGUGCAGGAGAGGUAAGUGGAAUUCCUGGUGUAGGGGUAAAAUGCGUAGAGAUUAGGAGGAACACCAGUGGCGAAGGCGACUUACUGGACUGUAACUGACGUUGAGGCGCGAAAGCGUGGGGAGCAAACAGGAUUAGAUACCCUGGUAGUC
Molecule: ribosomal RNA, 440 nt
Filed under: uncultured bacterium
Lineage: Bacteria
Description: partial 16S ribosomal RNA
Rfam family: Bacterial small subunit ribosomal RNA
Source: RNAcentral